GUCGAACGAACUCUGGUAUUGAUUGGUGCUUGCAUCAUGAUUUACAUUUGAGUGAGUGGCGAACUGGUGAGUAACACGUGGGAAACCUGCCCAGAAGCGGGGGAUAACACCUGGAAACAGAUGCUAAUACCGCAUAACAACUUGGACCGCAUGGUCCGAGCUUGAAAGAUGGCUUCGGCUAUCACUUUUGGAUGGUCCCGCGGCGUAUUAGCUAGAUGGUGGGGUAACGGCUCACCAUGGCAAUGAUACGUAGCCGACCUGAGAGGGUAAUCGGCCACAUUGGGACUGAGACACGGCCCAAACUCCUACGGGAGGCAGCAGUAGGGAAUCUUCCACAAUGGACGAAAGUCUGAUGGAGCAACGCCGCGUGAGUGAAGAAGGGUUUCGGCUCGUAAAACUCUGUUGUUAAAGAAGAACAUAUCUGAGAGUAACUGUUCAGGUAUUGACGGUAUUUAACCAGAAAGCCACGGCUAACUACGUGCCAGCAGCCGCGGUAAUACGUAGGUGGCAAGCGUUGUCCGGAUUUAUUGGGCGUAAAGCGAGCGCAGGCGGUUUUUUAAGUCUGAUGUGAAAGCCUUCGGCUCAACCGAAGAAGUGCAUCGGAAACUGGGAAACUUGAGUGCAGAAGAGGACAGUGGAACUCCAUGUGUAGCGGUGAAAUGCGUAGAUAUAUGGAAGAACACCAGUGGCGAAGGCGGCUGUCUGGUCUGUAACUGACGCUGAGGCUCGAAAGUAUGGGUAGCAAACAGGAUUAGAUACCCUGGUAGUCCAUACCGUAAACGAUGAAUGCUAAGUGUUGGAGGGUUUCCGCCCUUCAGUGCUGCAGCUAACGCAUUAAGCAUUCCGCCUGGGGAGUACGGCCGCAAGGCUGAAACUCAAAGGAAUUGACGGGGGCCCGCACAAGCGGUGGAGCAUGUGGUUUAAUUCGAAGCUACGCGAAGAACCUUACCAGGUCUUGACAUACUAUGCAAAUCUAAGAGAUUAGACGUUCCCUUCGGGGACAUGGAUACAGGUGGUGCAUGGUUGUCGUCAGCUCGUGUCGUGAGAUGUUGGGUUAAGUCCCGCAACGAGCGCAACCCUUAUUAUCAGUUGCCAGCAUUAAGUUGGGCACUCUGGUGAGACUGCCGGUGACAAACCGGAGGAAGGUGGGGAUGACGUCAAAUCAUCAUGCCCCUUAUGACCUGGGCUACACACGUGCUACAAUGGAUGGUACAACGAGUUGCGAACUCGCGAGAGUAAGCUAAUCUCUUAAAGCCAUUCUCAGUUCGGAUUGUAGGCUGCAACUCGCCUACAUGAAGUCGGAAUCGCUAGUAAUCGCGGAUCAGCAUGCCGCGGUGAAUACGUUCCCGGGCCUUGUACACACCGCCCGUCACACCAUGAGAGUUUGUAACACCCAAAGUCGGUGGGGUAACCU
RNAcentral lists this ribosomal RNA (1414 nucleotides) under Lactiplantibacillus plantarum. RNAcentral's name for it is "bacterial SSU rRNA". It matches the Rfam family "Bacterial small subunit ribosomal RNA". The record is from RNAcentral. Lineage: Bacteria; Bacillati; Bacillota; Bacilli; Lactobacillales; Lactobacillaceae.